RNAcentral lists this small nuclear RNA (20 nucleotides) under Arabidopsis thaliana (thale cress). RNAcentral describes it as "snRNA_11727". Lineage: Eukaryota; Viridiplantae; Streptophyta; Magnoliopsida; Brassicales; Brassicaceae. The record is from RNAcentral.
UCCGUUCGGCGGAAGCGUCG